RNAcentral lists this non-coding RNA (182 nucleotides) under Pasteurella multocida. RNAcentral's name for it is "6S RNA". It matches the Rfam family "6S / SsrS RNA". From Rfam's summary of the family: E. coli 6S RNA was the first non coding RNA to be sequenced, but its function was unknown until recently. It consists of 184 nucleotides that fold into an extended hairpin structure with a large single-stranded internal bulge. The record is from RNAcentral. Lineage: Bacteria; Pseudomonadati; Pseudomonadota; Gammaproteobacteria; Pasteurellales; Pasteurellaceae.
GAUUACCUGAGGUGUUUGCCAGGGGGUGAUGUCGCUGAGCCGAUACUGUGACUGGAGGAGUGCGUUUGUAGGUGUUGGAGUGCAUGAUUAGCGUGACUAAGAAGCCUAAAGAUAGUUAUAACUGAUUCACUGGGGACGGUGCGGGCACGGACUGAGACUGGCGGCGGCAUCUCGUGUUCUUC